UGUCACCUCCACCGUGCAUCAGUGAACUUUUGGCGCCCAUCACCCUGAUGUCAGUUCAUCAGUUGUCCUUCCUUGCAUCGCUUUUGGUAGUUACUAACCACUGCAUACUGGGAACACCUCACAAGACUGUUUUGGAGAUUUGGACCUUGUCAAAGAUCUUUUCGCUUGCCCAUUUUUAUUGCUUUCAGCACUGACAGUUCCCUUGCUGGCUUAUAUAUAUAUGCAUAAAAGUUUUAGAAAUGAGAUCGAAUGCUCCAGAGCUUCAGAAAAGCAAUUUGUUUUAAGUAGGCAAGAUUUUUUUUUUUUCUAAAAUCAUUUCUGAAUCAUCAGAUACGGUAAAUAAAAGUGUUAGUUCACCCAAAAAUAAAAACCAGUCCAUAAGUUACGCACCCUCAAGUCAACCUUCUUCUUUCAGACGAAUUCAACGCCAACCUCAUUUGUCAUCCGGAACUGCUUCAGUGUACAACUGUUGGCACAAGCUACAGUAUGUUAAACUCGCAGGAACACCAUAAGGCCUGGGCUGGAUACCAAGCUUCGAGCUGAAUGCCUCCGGAUGCCUAACUGAUGCGUCAGCGUGGGAAAUGAGAUGAAGGGGCAGACGUCCCCUGCUUCAUCAUGCUCCUCAUCCUCCUCCUCCCCCAAUAUGCUCGAGAUAGCUGGAGCUACACUCAUAAGCAGAGGCAGAUACUGGAGAUGGUUGCAAGGUGGUGCGCAGGUGUCUCAGACUCCAUGUUGAAUGCUUUGGAAAUUGUGCCUCGAGGAGCAAGUUAGAAAAUGGAAAUGGACCAUCCCAUCCAACUUCUCUCACUAUCUGACUACCUCAUGCCAGAACCUGCACAUGGAGCGAGUGUCAGGUCAGUAAAAUCAUAAGACAAACACAAUUACAUGGUUUAUUGAAACAAUAGGUGUAAUUAUAAAGGAUUUGUAUAUCAGUCUUUGUAAUUUAAUUGCAAGAAUUAUGUUCAGCUAGAUCCAUGAUCAUCCAGCCAUACUUCAGUCAUUCGUUUCAGUGGAAUUUUUUUUCUUUAAUCUGCUACAAUGUAAAGUAGGCUUUGCAAGUAGAAAGUGGAAAAU
RNAcentral lists this long non-coding RNA (1074 nucleotides) under Carassius auratus (goldfish). RNAcentral describes it as "lncRNA (ENSCARG00000001552.1)". Lineage: Eukaryota; Metazoa; Chordata; Actinopteri; Cypriniformes; Cyprinidae. The record is from RNAcentral.